AAGUCGUAACAAGGUUCCCGUAGGUGAACCUGCGGGAGGAUCAUUAGAGAUUCGAUAAAUUCGAAUGAAAAAGACAGGCUCGAUGCAUCGAGUUUUUGGGCUACCGUUGUUUAUGAUGCCCGGGCCUGACAGGAAUUGAUCGGAACAAAACUGGUAGCAAACAAACAAACUCGUUUCAGAGAUCGCAAACUUACUGUUGGGGUUGUUAUGGCCACUCGGCUGCAGGACUGGUAAUAAGGUCCCUGCAGUCGGCCGGUCGAGAGCUUUGCCUCGAGCAUAGCAAACAUUAAAGAGCUGCGGUCUUGUGCUUUCGUUGCCUCGCGGCAGCGAGCAUGAGCCGCCCCAACGCUUUCACACCGUUUUCACAAAUGUUGCAAACGAAACCGACAAAAACUAAAUAAGAUACAACUACGAGUGGUGGAUCACUCGGCUCACGG
This 437-nucleotide unclassified non-coding RNA is filed under the name fungal sp. RNAcentral's name for it is "partial internal transcribed spacer region". The stretch from base 1 to 46 matches the Rfam family "Eukaryotic small subunit ribosomal RNA", at positions 1786 to 1831 of the family's 1831-position model. The record is from RNAcentral. Lineage: Eukaryota; Fungi.